CAUCGUUGUCUUGGCACGAGGCUGCCCAGUGACGUUCAGUCGGGCGACGCCUUGUGCACGAGACUUUAGAAAACACUGGUGUUGGCGUUGGUGGCUGCCUGACCACGAUGCCUUCUGCUGCGCAACUCCCGUCGUGGGCGGGGCUGCCGAAACCACAAACGAAAUCACAGCUUGAACCUCUGACUCGAUGUCUUUGCACGAGGCUGCCCAGUGACGUUCAGUUAGCC
Long non-coding RNA from Rhipicephalus microplus (southern cattle tick), 227 nucleotides. The record is from RefSeq and is a predicted model, not a curated record. NCBI's taxonomy places the organism in Eukaryota, Metazoa, Arthropoda, Arachnida, Ixodida, Ixodidae.